UGGGGAAUAUUGGACAAUGGGCGCAAGCCUGAUCCAGCCAUGCCGCGUGAGUGAUGAAGGCCCUAGGGUUGUAAAGCUCUUUCAGUGGUGAAGAUAAUGACGGUAACCACAGAAGAAGCCCCGGCUAACUUCGUGCCAGCAGCCGCGGUAAUACGAAGGGGGCUAGCGUUGUUCGGAAUAACUGGGCGUAAAGCGCGCGUAGGCGGCUAUCCAAGUCAGGGGUGAAAUCCCGGGGCUCAACCCCGGAACUGCCCUUGAAACUAGGUAGCUAGAAUCCUGGAGAGGCGAGUGGAAUUCCGAGUGUAGAGGUGAAAUUCGUAGAUAUUCGGAAGAACACCAGUGGCGAAGGCGACUCGCUGGACAGGUAUUGACGCUGAGGUGCGAAAGCGUGGGGAGCAAACAGGAUUAGAUACCCCCGUAGUCC
Molecule: ribosomal RNA, 424 nt
Filed under: uncultured prokaryote
Description: bacterial SSU rRNA
Rfam family: Bacterial small subunit ribosomal RNA
Source: RNAcentral